This 253-nucleotide non-coding RNA is filed under the name Clostridium intestinale. RNAcentral's name for it is "T-box sequence". It matches the Rfam family "T-box leader". Rfam says of the family: Uncharged tRNA acts as the effector for transcription antitermination of genes in the T-box leader family. T-boxes are found upstream of many aminoacyl-tRNA synthetase genes and some amino acid biosynthetic genes usually in Gram-positive bacteria. The record is from RNAcentral. Lineage: Bacteria; Bacillati; Bacillota; Clostridia; Eubacteriales; Clostridiaceae.
AUAAAAUCUAUGAGUAAGAGUAGUAACUUUUUAAGGGAUUUUCAGAGAGUAAGUGGUUUGGUGUGAACUUACAAUAACUUUUUUAGCGAAUGGACUUACGAGAGAGAGCUGAAUUUGAGUAUGCAAUACGUUUUCCUACGUUACAGGGAUAAGAUAUGAAAGUAUCUGACAAUGAGAUGGUAUAAGUAAGAUUAUAAUCUUUGUAAUUUUAUUUAUGCUAACAGAGGUGGCAACGCGGAUAUUCGCCCUCUAU